CGGCGGACGGGUGAGUAACGCGUGGGUAACCUGCCUCAUACAGGGGGAUAACAGUUGGAAACGGCUGCUAAUACCGCAUAAGCGCACAGUACCGCAUGGUACGGUGUGAAAAACCCAGGUGGUGUGAGAUGGAUCCGCGUCUGAUUAGCCAGUUGGCGGGGUAACGGCCCACCAAAGCGGCGAUCAGUAGCUGACCUGAGAGGGUGACCGGCCACAUUGGGACUGAGACACGGCCCAA
RNAcentral lists this ribosomal RNA (238 nucleotides) under uncultured bacterium. RNAcentral describes it as "partial 16S ribosomal RNA". It matches the Rfam family "Bacterial small subunit ribosomal RNA", at positions 96 to 334 of the family's 1533-position model. The record is from RNAcentral.